RNAcentral lists this ribosomal RNA (481 nucleotides) under uncultured bacterium. Its description in RNAcentral is "partial 16S ribosomal RNA". It matches the Rfam family "Bacterial small subunit ribosomal RNA", at positions 28 to 507 of the family's 1533-position model. The record is from RNAcentral.
GACGAACGUUGGCGGCGUGCUUAAUACAUGCAAGUCAACUGAAGCAGUGGUAGCAAUAUCGCUGUGGAGGUGGCGCACGGGUGAGUAACACGUAGGUAAUCUGCCUUCAGGUCUGGCAUAACUCCGGGAAACCGGGGCUAAUAGCAGAUGAUGCAGCGGCUCGACAUCGAGACAGUUGUUAAAGCUAUGGCGCCUGAAGAUGAGCCUGCGUCUGAUUAGCUAGUUGGCGGGGUAACGGCCCACCAAGGCAACGAUCAGUAGCUGGUCUGAGAGGAUGAUCAGCCACACUGGAACUGAGACACGGUCCAGACUCCUACGGGAGGAAGCAGUAAGGAAUAUUGCUCAAUGGGAGAAAUCCUGAAGCAGCAACGCCGCGUGAGGGACGAAGGGCUUUUGCUUGUAAACCUCUGUAGUGAGAGAAAAAAAUCCCAAUCUUUGGGACAUGAUGGUAUCUCAAAAGUAAGCCCCGGCUAACUACGUG